UAAAGGAAGCGAUUCCGGCGGAGGAUGGGCAUGCGGCGCAUUAGCUAGUUGGCGGGGUAACGGCCCACCAAGGCGACGAUGCGUAGGGGUUCUGAGAGGAAGGUCCCCCACACUGGUACUGAGACACGGACCAGACUCCUACGGGAGGCAGCAGUGAGGAAUAUUGGUCAAUGGGCGGGAGCCUGAACCAGCCAAGUCGCGUGACGGAAGACGGUCCUAUGGAUUGUAAACCUCUUUAGGCGGGGAGCAAUGCCGGGCACGCGUGCCCGGAGGGAGAGUACCCGCAGAAUAAGCAUCGGCUAACUCCGUGCCAGCAGCCGCGGUAAUACGGAGGAUGCGAGCGUUAUCCGGAUUUAUUGGGUUUAAAGGGUGCGUAGGCGGAUUUUUAAGUCAGCGGUAAAAUGUCCGGGCUCAACCCGGGCCGGCCGUUGAAACUGGGGAUCUUGAGUGGGCGAGAAGUAUGCGGAAUGCGUGGUGUAGCGGUGAAAUGCAUAGAUAUCACGCAGAACUCCGAUUGCGAAGGCAGCAUACCGGCGCCCGACUGACGCUGAGGCACGAAAGCGUGGGGAUCGAACAGGAUUAGAUACCCUGGUAGUCCACGCAGUAAACGAUGAAUGCUAGUUGUCCGGUUCUUUGGGACUGG
Molecule: ribosomal RNA, 643 nt
Filed under: uncultured bacterium
Lineage: Bacteria
Description: bacterial SSU rRNA
Rfam family: Bacterial small subunit ribosomal RNA
Source: RNAcentral